This 107-nucleotide ribosomal RNA is filed under the name Nannospalax galili (Upper Galilee mountains blind mole rat). Lineage: Eukaryota; Metazoa; Chordata; Mammalia; Rodentia; Spalacidae. The record is from RNAcentral.
UAUGACCUUACCACCCUAAAUACACUGGAUCUUGUCUGAUUUCAGAAGCCAAGCAGGGUCUGGAUGGAAGGUUUUAUGAAGCUUUGAAAAUGUUUGUGACUUCAUAU